CUCUCCCCUCCAGCGCGCCUCUCUCUCUCAAGCCGCCGCUGCCGCCACCGACCGCCUCGAACCAGCUCGUCCCACCUCCUCCUCUCCCUCUCUCGAUCUCCUCUGCCUCGCACGCCACCACCGCUCGCCCUCGCGCCGCCGCCUCCAUUCGCCCUCCUCUGCCUCGCACACCGCCACCGCUCGCCCUCGCGCCGCCGCCGUCUCCGUUGCCCAACCCACUGGAUCCCCACCAUCCACUUCUCCAGCGUCGUCGCCUCGUCAUCACGUGCACGCGGCAGGAGGAGCGAGGGAGAUGUGGAGCCGCCGCUAGGAACGCCACCUUCGUCCUCGCGUGCACAUGACAGGAGGAGCGGGGGAGGCGUGGAGCCGCGCCCUCCCCUGCCGCCGCCGCUGCCCGUUCCCUCGCCCUCCCCUGCCGUCUCCAUCGGCGACUUCAACUUCUCCCUUUCCCUGCCCAUGUCGCCGGCCUCUCCCUUGGUGGCGGCCAGAUCUACCAGGCGGCGGUGUAGGGGACGCAUCAUCCCCUCCAAGAGCCUCGGAAGGCAAAUGGGGAAGCUGCUGCAGGUUCUUAGACCUCCCCUUCCUCAUCCUGUCUCUGUAGGUGCAGCAGGUAGAUUGGCCAGAGGAGGUGGAUAUGGAGGAGCAGGCCAACACCCCUCCCUCUUCAUGCAUGGCUACCGGCCUGAGCAAUCUCCUUUUAAUUCACGGUCUCUUCCAGUUUCUCAAUUAUUCAUACAUUUGCAUCUAUGUUCCAGCCGCCCCCUUCUUCAUGGCUAGGAUUUGGGUGAAAGGAGGCCACAACAGGGGAGAAGUGGCCAGGGUCAUAACUCAUAACAUACACACCUGAAGGUUGUUCUCAAAUCGGACAUAGCCAUGCCAUUCACUCUCAAACCUCGGCUACGAAAUUAUUGGUAUAAUUCAUGCACAGGGAAUGUCUUUUGCAUGGCAGAAAGAGUUGUGGCAGGCAAAGAGGUCAUAAUUUCUGGAUCCGCGCCGCCAUCAAGCCGGGCCCCAACGGUCGCCUCCUUCUCUACAACCAGUGCCAGGCCCUUCGGUGCAUCGAUCCGGCACCAGGAACCAUGAGAAGCAGGCCCUUCUACCCCGCCGCCGGCGCCGCCUCCUCGCGAGAUCCCGACCAUGGUCCGCUGUAGAUGCUGUUUGUUCUGUUUGUCGAGGCUUUUGUCGGCCUGCUGUCUGCUGCCGUGUUGAGAGGUUGCAAGGUUCCUGGUUGCGCGGAGAUGAUCCAUGAUCUGGUGGUGGGAAGUGGCUCCAUAUUGGUGAUUGGACCUCCUGGUGUAGGCAAGACUACUCUGAUCAGCCAGAAGAUGGUGUUGUUAUCCACGAGGAUGUCUUAAAUGAUACGAGAGGUUCGGGAGGGUGUCAGAAAUGCUACUCAGAGAAAGCUCCUCAAUGAGCUGGGCAUCCCAGCUGAAGAUGUGCCCGUUGACCAGUUCAUUCCUGUCAGUCGGAUGCUUGACAGGGUGUCGGCUGUAGAGACAGAAGAGGAGGUUGAGGCAUCCUCGACGCCUGCUGCAGCGACCACGACCACAUGCAUCUAAAAGAGAGAUACUAUAGAUGCUUUGUGAGAGGAUGCUUCUACUGGAGACCAUGAUCCAGUCCAAUGAUUUAUCCGGCAAGGAGGAGAAGCAUUGUUGGGGUCCUCAUUGUCACCAAGGGGAUGCAACCUACAUCAAUCGUGUAGAGAUCCACUGAUGUGUCCGUGCCCAUGUUGUGCUUCACCGAGCUUCAGGAAAAAUAAUCUAUUUCUGGGAUUAGUCCUCAACAAGCAAGAAGAAGUGCCAUCACUGGUAUGAAACCCAUGCCAGGGGAAGGGAUUCCAUCACUGCCUUUUGAUCAGCAAGUGUAAUCUCCAGUGAUGAUCGUCCCUGUUCAGCAUUCAUCAACAGAAUGCCAUCUUCAGUGCCCCUCUCUAGGCCCUCACUCUGAAUUCUUUCGGUUUUAAUAGGUGCCCUCCCUCCAUGGACGAGGAGGACAUUGACCUAGACCUUGACGACGACGUCGUCCACCCCACACAAGGUCGUUGCCACGCAAUAAACUUCUUUUCUUCUUCCAUUCCAAGUUACCUCUGCUCUGUUUCUGCAAUAGACUCAUUGUUCACUAGCUAUAGAUCCCUAUGUUGUUGUUGGUGGUGGUUGGCGAGGUGACGCUGGAAGGCGCGGAGGCGUCGUCGACGAAAGAGAAAAAGAAGAGGACAUACCGUACAGCUGCCCACCACUGCUCACCUCGAUGGCUCGACCACCUCUGCUGUGCCGCAGACGACACAGGGGGAGGCCGAGGUGAUCAUCGACGGUGCUCACCCCGACCCCAUUGGGAUCUAGGGGAAGGGGCUAUGGCGGCAGCGGCACUGGGAGAGGCGGCGGCACUGGGAGAGGCAGCGGCGCUCGGAGAGGAGGCACCUACUUUAUUUCUACUUCUACUUUUCUUCUGCACCUAUAGUUUCAAUGCUUUAUCUGCUCGUGGAGCUAUGCUUCUGUUGCAUUGGGCUAAGGUUUGAUUGCUUGAAGGUGUAUGUCAAGGUGUAAGUGCAGACUCAUUGUUGAUGAUGAAUACUGUGGAGUAAGAAUGAUCUGGCUCAGCAAUUUUCUGGUUCAGGUCGUUGACAUAUUCGGGUUCUAGGUCACAUAAAUAAAAUUUAGAGUUAAUUGA
Triticum aestivum (bread wheat) is the source of this 2667-nucleotide long non-coding RNA. RefSeq lists it as uncharacterized. Lineage: Eukaryota; Viridiplantae; Streptophyta; Magnoliopsida; Poales; Poaceae. The record is from RefSeq and is a predicted model, not a curated record. The transcript is spliced from 11 exons.